AUUGAACGCUGGCGGCAGGCUUAACACAUGCAAGUCGAGCGGGGUGAUGGUGCUUGCACUAUCACUUAGCGGCGGACGGGUGAGUAAUGCUUAGGAAUCUGCCUAUCAGUGGGGGACAACAUCUCGAAAGGGAUGCUAAUACCGCAUACGUCCUACGGGAGAAAGCAGGGGAUCACUUGUGACCUUGCGCUAAUAGAUGAGCCUAAGUCGGAUUAGCUAGUUGGUGGGGUAAAGGCCUACCAAGGCGACGAUCUGUAGCGGGUCUGAGAGGAUGAUCCGCCACACUGGGACUGAGACACGGCCCAGGCUCCUACGGGAGGCAGCAGUGGGGAAUAUUGGACAAUGGGGGGAACCCUGAUCCAGCCAUGCCGCGUGUGUGAAGAAGGCCUUAUGGUUGUAAAGCACUUUAAGCGAGGAGGAGGCUCUUUUGGUUAAUACCCAAGAUGAGUGGACGUUACUCACAGAAUAAGCACCGGCUAACUCUGUGCCAGCAGCCGCCGUAA
This 503-nucleotide ribosomal RNA is filed under the name uncultured bacterium. RNAcentral describes it as "partial 16S ribosomal RNA". It matches the Rfam family "Bacterial small subunit ribosomal RNA", at positions 30 to 523 of the family's 1533-position model. The record is from RNAcentral.